RNAcentral lists this ribosomal RNA (588 nucleotides) under uncultured bacterium. RNAcentral's name for it is "bacterial SSU rRNA". It matches the Rfam family "Bacterial small subunit ribosomal RNA", at positions 338 to 916 of the family's 1533-position model. The record is from RNAcentral.
CAUACGGGAGGCAGCAGUGAGGAAUUUUGCGCAAUGGGGGAAACCCUGACGCAGCAACGCCGCGUGAGUGAUGAAGGCUUUCGGGUCGUAAAGCUCUGUCAAGUGGGAAGAACAUGCCCUGUGAUAAUACCAUGGGGCACUGACGGUACCACUGAAGGAAGCACCGGCUAACUCCGUGCCAGCAGCCGCGGUAAUACGGGGGGUGCAAGCGUUAUUCGGAAUCAUUGGGCGUAAAGGGCGCGUAGGCGGCCCCUUAAGUCAGAUGUGAAAGCCCUCAGCUUAACUGAGGAAGUGCAUUUGAAACUAAGGGGCUUGAGUAUGGGAGAGGGAAGCGGAAUUCCUGGUGUAGCGGUGAAAUGCGUAGAUAUCAGGAGGAACACCGGUGGCGAAGGCGGCUUCCUGGACCAAUACUGACGCUGAGGCGCGAAGGCGUGGGGAGCAAACAGGAUUAGAUACCCUGGUAGUCCACGCAGUAAACUGUGAACACUAGGUGUAGCGGGUAUUGACCCCUGCUGUGCCGAAGCUAACGCAUUAAGUGUUCCGCCUGGGAAGUACGGUCGCAAGGCUAAAACUCAAAGGAAUUGACGG